UUAUAAACAAUAAAUUAGAAAAAUAAGAUAGAUAUAUAUAAAUAAAUAGAUUUUCAAUAAAAGUAAGCAAUAAGUAAUAAUAUACGUAAAACAUGGUUUUGAAUAAUUACCUAAGAAGUUUUACAAUUUUUUAUUUUUUUUAAAUGUAUUACAUUAGUUUACAAUGCAGCUUUUUUUCAGGCUUUCUUUUCAAUACUUAUAAAAACAUUUUCUGAAUAUGGUAAUAACUGUAUUUUUUUAGGGCUUUGUUUUCCUUGUGCGGUUUUUGGUCAACGGCUUUUUUUCCCGGGGCUUUAUUAUCCUCAAUUUCUAAUAAUAGUUAUCUAAGUGGGAAGAAAUCUUUUAUUCAAGUUUUAAGCAAGUGAAACGAAAAUGUUGAAUUGCCGACUGUAGCGUACGCAGAAUUUCAGUUUGUCUAGGGUUUUCACUAUAGAUUUAUCAUAGACCCGCGUGAACUUCAUCCCCCGCACCCUAACUUUAUAGCUAAACUAGUAAAUAAUAUCAACAUUAAGCCCAAAUAAUUUUUCCAAAUUCCCAUA
This is a non-coding RNA of Cinara cedri, 539 nucleotides long. NCBI's taxonomy places the organism in Eukaryota, Metazoa, Arthropoda, Insecta, Hemiptera, Aphididae. The record is from the annotation of a GenBank genome assembly.